RNAcentral lists this ribosomal RNA (373 nucleotides) under uncultured Glomeromycotina. RNAcentral describes it as "eukaryotic LSU rRNA". The record is from RNAcentral. Lineage: Eukaryota; Fungi; Glomeromycota.
UUGAAAGGGAAACGAUUGAAGUCAGUCGUACCUGCGGGUAAUCAGCCUUUUGGGCAUGAUUCUGUGGAGCGUGAGGAGUUAAACGCCUUCAUGCCUGCAUAUUCGUGUACAUUGGGUGUACUUGCCUGUGUGGUUAGUUAACAUCAAUUUUGGUUGUCAUAAAAUGGUUGGAGGAAUGUAGCUUCGAUUUCGGUUGAAGUGUUAUAGCCUUCGGCAGAUGUGAUGAUCGGGAUUGAGGAUUGCAACGGAUACCCUUCGGGGCUACCUGUCUGGUCUCUGAUCGUUGCUUUGGUGCCGAAAGCGUGCUUACGGUUAUCAAAGUCGAUGGUCAAUAGGUUAGAACGUGAUUACAUUCGUUAAGGAUGUUGACGUA